AUUGUUGUAACUUUGGCCUUCCAUAUAAUCGUAUGCUAUACUGAAAGGUACAAUUUUAUUCUUCUUGUGGCAAAUACUAGUAUUUAUGUAACAUCCUCAGAUUGUUUGCAACGUCCACUAGAGACUGUAGAGACUGCUGUUUCUUCAAACAUAGGAGCUUUCGUCGGUGUUUGCGUUGGUACUUUCGUAACCACCCUAAUUAUUGUGGCCAUUGCUUUUACCCUUUAUAGACGCCUGCGAUAUAGACGAAAGCAUACACAGAAAGAUGUAAACGAUGUUCAUGAUGCUCAUAGACAAAACACAGGCACAGGAAUUGAUAGCGAAACUUCGUUAACAUAUGAAAGUCUAGAUGACGAUAAGAAGGAAAGAAAUCUGUACAGCCAGCUUUAAGCUUCAAACGAAUAGCUUGACUAGGUCACAAAAGAAAAUAACGCUUAGUCACAUGAAAAUGGAAACAACAUCGCAUGAUAUUUCAGACUACAUCAAUUUCAAAAUAGAAAUAGAUAGUGGCAUUCAUUAGAUGAUUAAUCAAAAAUCCCUAUUGACAUAUUGACAGUUUUAAUAAUAAGUGUUUGUAAUUUACGUUGUGUGUUGUGCUGAUUCCAAUUAUCAUUACAUUUUCGAAUUUACAAAACAGUUGCCUUGGUAAAUUACCAAUGUUGAUAAAUUGUUUGUAUGCUAAGAAUAGUUAAGCUGAAACGAUCGAUCUUCAAACUAGUAUAGAUCAGAAAACUUUUGAAUAGAAAUAUAACUACACGUGUGUAUACAUUUUUCCGCAGUAAUUUAUAUUAUUAAUAAGUUAAAAGUUAUAGAAUGAUAUGAAACGUUAUAUUAUCUUAUUAACAGUGAUGUGUUGCAACACACCAUAAAUGUUUACUUCACCGAAACUAGACUUUGUGUGAAAUAUAGCGUGAAAUACAUGCGAUUGUUACUGAGAUAUUAGCAUUACCUUAUCAAAACCGUUUGUUCAAAGUCAUUUUGACAAUUCCAAAUUCAGUAAGAAUUAAGAGUUUAAGAAUAAACAGCGGAUAUUCAAUUAAAGACUAAAUGACUUUUUGAAGGAUGGUAAAAACGUGGCCCGUGUAUUACACGUAAUGGAGCUUUAUUCGAAAAUUAUUUAAAGCUUUGUAUCAUUUUUAUUAAGUUUAUACACCUAAAUAGUUUUGGAAAGCCUUCUUUGAUUAACUUAUUUCUUCAAACCACCUAUAAUCAUAAACCAUUUAUUAUAAUAAUACAUUUCCAUUAAAUUCGAUCUGACGUAUUGCAAGAGCUAAAACUUGUAAAACAUUUAAACAUUUUUAUCCUACCACUACGCAUUUAUUAGGCCGGUAUGUGCUUGCCGUGUAACUUGAUGUUUAUUCAGUCAAUAGAGGUUUAGACUGUAUGCUGAUGAUGGACAAUUUUAUCUGUUAUUUAAGCCAGCAGAGCCUGUUACUAGAAUUGAAUCCUUACAGCGAGUAGAACAUUGUUGCAAUGAAAUAAUCACCUGGAUGAAUAAAAACAUGCUGAAACUGAAUGCUGGAAAAACCGAAGUCAUUGUCUUUACAUCAAAACAAAAUGAAAAAACUCACUGAUAACAUUACAGUGAAAGUUGGUGCGUCUACCAUAACACCGCCAUCCAGCGUAAGAAACCUAGGCGCAAUCCUUGAUUCGGAAGUGGACAUGGAAAAGCAUAUAAGUGCCGUAUCAGACCAAGUUGCGUCAGAUACAACAUAUAAGGGUCUACAUUACCUCCGAUGCCACAAGGUCGAUAGUACACCCCCUGGUUACCUCACGUCUCGAUUACUGUAAUGGUCUUUUGUAUGGCAUUCCAAGGUCAUGUUUAAACAAACUUCAGAAUGUUCAAAAUGCAGCUACACGUCUAAUUACGAGAACACGCCGUAACGAGCACAUAACACCAGUGCUUAAAGAACUAUAUUGGCUUUCUGUACGUACCAAACAGGGUGGAGUUUAAGAUCCUGACCCACACCUAUAAAGCUCUUCAUGAUCAUGCCCCUAAAUACAUCAAAGACAUACUUGAUAUAUACAGACCUUCAAGAAAUUUAAGAUCACAAAAUUCAAAUUUACUUGUUGUGCAAAAUCACGUACUGUAAAAUACGGUGACAGAAGUUUCUGACAUGCUGCACCAAGACUGUGGAAUGCCCUACCUAUUGACAUAAGAAACUGUGGAACACUCUCAUCAUACAAAAAAAAUCAUUAAAAACACAUUUAUUUGUAAAAUACUUUGGACAGUGACAAUGCACAUGUGAUAGUCUGACUGUGACUUUGUCAGCUUACCAAUCUUAAUUCUUUUCUUAAUCUUGUUAUGAAUCGUAUUUUAAACAUUUCAGUGUUGUUUUCUGCGUAAAACUGUUUUAGAUGUAAUUUGUGUUUAACCAGACAAUUUGUACUAUUCGUAGUCAUAUGCAUAGAUAUAUUGCAAGUGCGAUAUUGUUUUAAUUUUCAUGUAGUAACAUGUGUUUAGCAUUUAAUCAUUUUAAUUAUUAUUUAAUUGUUUUAAACACGUAUCUUAAUUCGAAGAAUUGAUCCGUAUCAUUUGCUUUUAUUUUAAUAACUAUCUAUUGUACAUGUAUGUCCAUUCUAUUGUUAAGCAGUUGUAAGCAGUCGUAUAUUGUAAUUCUUAGAUCUAAACCAUUCUUAGUGGAAUGAUUUUUUCCUCACAUUGUCUUGCACGAAAAUGGAGUAAAUUUAAGGCAGGGACUGUGGGCAUUUAAAUUCAUCUCAAGUGUGGUUUUCAGCUGCAUUUUAUCAAGGUCAACGCCACUUUGCUUGUUAUAUUUUUUACACGAAUGCCCUGCUUGUUUUUUUUUUACACGAAUGCCAUGCUGACACUUAAAAAGGCUAUGAUUUAUAAUACACAGAAGGCAAAGCAUGAGGUAAGGAAUAAUGUUUUAUUGUAAGGAAUCGUGUGUAAUAACUGAAUCAAGCAUGUUCGUAGGAAUUUACAAAUGAGUAGAAUUCUGUGUGGAUUAUUUUUGUAUAAACUUUUCUACAACUUUGUGGAUAAACUUAAGUUAAGAAAGACAGUAACCUAAUAUUCUCUAUAUAUCUCUUCAGUUGCUGUAUCAAACUUGACAAAAAAGUGUCAUAACUCAUGCCUGUUGAACGAUCUAUAGAUAUAUAAAGACAUAUAAUAUACAGUUAUGAAAUAAAUACAAAUUACAUUUAUGGUCAAAAACAGUUAAUCUAUCUAUUAUUUAUCAGGUUUUCAAGAUACCUCUGAAACCCACCGUUUAAGUAAAUUUACCGAUGAAGAUAACAUCUCCAUAAAAGUUUAUUUCAUAAUAUUACUUUACAUAAGACAGCUACACACUUUAGAAAUCAUUCAGUCUCAAAACAAAAAUAUAAAACUUUUGAUCAUUACUAUCAUUAUUUUAAGACUCCGGUUACCAUAAUCCAAUACACUUGGUUCGAUUCCCGAACAGCUUGGUCUGCUUUGCGUAAUAGGUGUUUAUGGUGGCCAUUCAUGUACAUUUUGGGGAAUCUCAUACCCAAACGGAAGACUAGGUCUCCCAACAAUAAUUAAAACACAACAACUUUACUUCAAUUAAAGACAUCAUGUUAUUAUUAUUAUUAUUCAUAUCGGGCAAAUACCCACACAGUGAUAAAUUUAUUACAACUAGCACUAUGAAUUGUCACUUAUUUAAAACAGUCAGUGUCAAUAUGCUUAUUUCAAUAGAUAGAUCCUCUGCGGUACCAAAUAGGUGACAGAGAGAUCAGAUCCUCCGCGGUACCAUAUAGGC
Mercenaria mercenaria is the source of this 3743-nucleotide long non-coding RNA. RefSeq lists it as uncharacterized. Lineage: Eukaryota; Metazoa; Mollusca; Bivalvia; Venerida; Veneridae. The transcript has 3 exons. The record is from RefSeq and is a predicted model, not a curated record.